UGGGGAAUUUUGGACAAUGGGCGAAAGCCUGAUCCAGCAAUGCCGCGUGUGUGAAGAAGGCCUUCGGGUUGUAAAGCACUUUUGUCCGGAAAGAAAUCCUUGGCUCUAAUACAGUCGGGGGAUGACGGUACCGGAAGAAUAAGCACCGGCUAACUACGUGCCAGCAGCCGCGGUAAUACGUAGGGUGCAAGCGUUAAUCGGAAUUACUGGGCGUAAAGCGCACGCAGGCGGUUUGUUAAGUCAGAUGUGAAAUCCCCGGGCUCAACCUGGGAACUGCAUUUGAAACUGGCAAGCUAGAGUCUCGUAGAGGGGGGUAGAAUUCCAGGUGUAGCGGUGAAAUGCGUAGAGAUCUGGAGGAAUACCGGUGGCGAAGGCGGCCCCCUGGACGAAGACUGACGCUCAGGUGCGAAAGCGUGGGGAGCAAACAGGAUUAGAUACCCUGGUAGUCCACGCUGUAAAACGAUGUCAACUAGUUGUUGGGGAUUCAUUUCCUUAGUAACGUAGCUAACGCGUGAAGUUGACCGCCUGGGGAGUACGGUCGCAAGAUUAAAACUCAAAGGAAUUGACGGGGUC
RNAcentral lists this ribosomal RNA (573 nucleotides) under uncultured bacterium. RNAcentral describes it as "partial 16S ribosomal RNA". It matches the Rfam family "Bacterial small subunit ribosomal RNA", at positions 355 to 920 of the family's 1533-position model. The record is from RNAcentral.